Molecule: long non-coding RNA, 246 nt
Filed under: Mytilus galloprovincialis (Mediterranean mussel)
Lineage: Eukaryota; Metazoa; Mollusca; Bivalvia; Mytilida; Mytilidae
Source: RNAcentral
CAUAUAGUGGAGCGUAUGGUUUAGUUAGUUAUUUAAGGCUUUCCUUUCUAAUUGAAUGUGUACCUUGGACAGUUUUUUGGAUAUUUUUGUCGUUUAUUAAUUAUUGACGUAAUCUUCUUCCUUUUUAAACAUUUAAAAACAGAAAUAACAUGUCAGUGGCGAAUACAUUGACGAUCAAUGUUUUUAAAUGGAGACGUAUGGACUGGUUGGAACACCCAUUUUUCCUAUUGUAUGACCCCCCCCCCC